Molecule: non-coding RNA, 28 nt
Filed under: Mus musculus (house mouse)
Lineage: Eukaryota; Metazoa; Chordata; Mammalia; Rodentia; Muridae
Source: RNAcentral
UAAUGGAAAUAAAAGCAGGAAUGGAAAC